RNAcentral lists this long non-coding RNA (2133 nucleotides) under Oryza sativa (Asian cultivated rice). RNAcentral describes it as "long non-coding RNA (OSAT_LNC000983)". The record is from RNAcentral. Lineage: Eukaryota; Viridiplantae; Streptophyta; Magnoliopsida; Poales; Poaceae.
GGUACCAGCUCAUCGCAGUCGGCCGGUUUUGUAACACCCCAGGUAACCACGUAUCUAGAAUGCCACACCAAAAUACACUCAAAAACUAAGUCCUAAAAUUAUUAGAAAUUUCGGCAGAGUCUCCCCUAAAAAUACGGACAUCACGACAGGCAGUUAUAAGAAAGGUCAAUACCGAUAUAAACCACACAAUCCAAACCAUCCUAGCUCCACAAAUCCCACGUGAAAAAUAAGGAUCAGAACCUUAAAUGACCUUUACAAGUUCUAUGCAAAACUUAUGCUGAGCAAAAAUUAUAGUCUAAAACUAAUUUCAAUUGUGUGCAAUAAUAAUGUGUAGUCCAAGGGUGCUACUCCCGCCCCAUGCCGAUCGAUGUCAUUAGGUACCUAAAAACCAAAUUAAACACCAGAGUGAGUAAAGAAUACUCAGCAAGUACAAUCUUGAACUAGUAAAACAUACGCAUGAUUUAUGCAUUAAGAAACCAACAUGAAGGGUUGGAUUUACUUUAUUUUUAAACCAAAGAAGUCAAAAGAUAGUAGUUCCCUCCCGGGCAGGUGUGAAUAUCCUCUUAGCAUUACCGGUAAGCCGAGCAAGCGUGAUCAGCGCUUCUCAAGGAUCAUGAAUAAAGAUCCAAAUUGCACUCCCAUGGCUACGCAUGGUUCUUGAAUAAUGUAAACAGAACAUCCGGAAUAAUGAAACAUGAAUAACGUCAUGAAUUUGAAUAUGGGUCGAAACACGAAUAAGUAGCAUAACGUCAUAGCCAUACAAUCAGUAAUAACAAGCAAUUGAAUAAUAAUUAUGCAAGUAAAGCCAAACAAAACAACUCAGUUUUGUCCAUCACAUAAGUCCGUCUUGUACUUGCCUUAACUCAUUCGAUACUCCGACUCAACUCCUCCAACGUUGGAACACUCCACACCUGUGGAGCAAAACUACGCAUAAAUCACUAUAUUCAACUAACGAUGGUUACAAGGGAUAUUUACUAAAAUCGAAACCUAGAACAUAUAAACCUUUUACCGAUUUGUAUUAAAUAACCUAUAGCUGUUCCAUUACUGUUUUAUGAGUAACUCACAAACCGUCUAACGGAAACUAGCAAAUAAUACAACUUCGGACAUCUAGACAAAAUUGUCUACAACUUUCAUGUUGAGCAAAAAACAGAUUAUGCCUCUGAAAAUCCCAGAUUAAGGAAAAACGAACUGCUGUCCUGAUUUCUGGACCCGGUCAGCAGUACUGUUUUUGCUGUUUCUCCUAAACCGUUUAUCGGAAUCGAGUGAAACUAGUACCGUUGGAAAGAUAUUGACAAUGACUACAAACUUUAUUUAGGACAACUAACCUGAUUCCUGAUGGUUUAAUACCAGAUUUGAAAAUACGGUUUCAGCCUAGCGUUCAAUAUAAAAUAAAUUCGAAAAAACCGGAAACAGAUCGCCUUAAAUAUAAAUUAGAAACAACUAUAGACUAAAACGGAUUACCUAGCAGUACUAAUGUAUAAGAAAAACGAAGAAUUUGGAAAUAUUCACCAAAUUCCCCAAAUUUCCCUUCUUCUAUCAAAUUUCCCCUUCUUUCCUUCCUUCCUGUUCUUCUCUGCCUUCUCUCCGUCCUUCCUGUUCGUUGCAGGCCAACAGCAGCAGCAGCAGAAACGAAUAUCGGCAGCAACAGCAAGCCGUGCACGACCAGCAAGGAAGAGAUCAGAUCGGCAACAGCAGGGUUCGGCAGCAGCAGGGAAAUUAACAGAAGCAACAGUAGCUCACCAACGACCGGCUGCGGACGACGACGGUUGUGGCGACCGGCGACGGCUGCACCAGCGGCGGCGCCGGCGAAGAGAGGAACAGCAGCGGCAGCGGCAGAGCGCAGGAGGUGCGGCGGCUAGGGCUACAGGAGAAUCGCUCCUGUUUCUUUUUUUUUCGUUUGUUUUUUUUGGUUGGUUAUAUAAAGAGACUAAAUAAGAUCUAACAGCUCACAUCUAUUCAAUCCUCGGGACUUCGUUCGGACUCCGAUUACUAUAAAUUUAUAGUCUAUUUUGCACUGCUCGGCGAGCUCUACGCAUCCACGGUUCCCGAUCGCCUAUACGAACAAUGGUUUAAAAGUUGAACUUUUGCGCGUUUGCUCUAAUAUUCCGCGAGAUAUAUUAAUUUAAAACUCGG